This 416-nucleotide long non-coding RNA is filed under the name Mytilus galloprovincialis (Mediterranean mussel). Lineage: Eukaryota; Metazoa; Mollusca; Bivalvia; Mytilida; Mytilidae. The record is from RNAcentral.
CAAAUAUAGUCCCUAGUGUUGACAGUGGGUUACUUGCCAUUAAUUUUUAUACCCCUUCCAAAUUUAUUUCUCCAUGUUUAAUGCCUCAUAUUGCAAGUAGGGGGGUGAAAUUACACUGUAAAAAAAAAUUGGGUCCAGAAUUUUAAAGGAAAGUAGUGAUUUGGUCCAGGUGAAAAAGGUUGAAAAAUAGCACUUCGGAAGCUGUCAAAAGAUUUCAAGACGCCCUAAAUAAAAUUGUCCAUAUUUUGAGUUAGAGGCGAUGAAGUUUUCUAUAAUUUUGAUAUAAUUUGUCCCAAAAGUAGUACAACACACUGUAAAAGUUUCUUUGAGAAAGUGCAGGUGGGAUUUUUUUUUAUUUUCAUUUAUGUUCUAAAAGAAAUGCACUACGAAAUAAUUGUGGUCUCGGACCAUGUAUU